This 76-nucleotide transfer RNA is filed under the name Escherichia coli. Its description in RNAcentral is "tRNA-Ala". It matches the Rfam family "tRNA". Rfam says of the family: Transfer RNA (tRNA) molecules are approximately 80 nucleotides in length. Their secondary structure includes four short double-helical elements and three loops (D, anti-codon, and T loops). The record is from RNAcentral. Lineage: Bacteria; Pseudomonadati; Pseudomonadota; Gammaproteobacteria; Enterobacterales; Enterobacteriaceae.
GGGGAUAUAGCUCAGCUGGGAGAGCGCCUGCCUUGCACGCAGGAGAUCAGCGGUUCGAUCCUGCUUAUCUCCACCA